Molecule: unclassified non-coding RNA, 391 nt
Filed under: Hevea brasiliensis (rubber tree)
Lineage: Eukaryota; Viridiplantae; Streptophyta; Magnoliopsida; Malpighiales; Euphorbiaceae
Source: RNAcentral
AGUAGCCCCAUUUAAUCCAUGGUUCGAGGUCAUCUUUUGCAACAAUGAAACCACCAAGCACAAAAACUAUCAGUAGACUGAAAGUGCCAAUAGUGCUUGCAACUACUAGAGUCCUUCCAAUUGCAGCAAUAAAGCGGAAGAGAGACAACGCCAUCUGGUGCAGAGCGAAAAAUACCAAGAAUUGACGGAAGAACCUACUUGCAGCAGGAGCAAAACCGACGGUAUAAUAAGUAAGGACAACCCAUAUCAAUGAUUCCAUGAAGGAGAGGGGGAUUCUUAAAAGCCAAAUUGGGAGAGCAAAAGCCCAGGCAGGAUAAAAUAGAGAAUCUCUUUGUUUAAAGAACACAGGAAGUCUGAAAAUGAUCAGUGCAAGCUCUGCUGCACCGUUAAA